AUUUUAAAUGUAUAAUAUUAUUGGAUGUUCUUUGCUUUUGUAGUGUUUCCAGAAAGGAUAAAUGAUGUCUUGUUUUGUUUUUUUUUAAUGUUUUAGUUGGAACUACUUUGCUUUCCUUUUCCUUGCUAGUUAGAAAAUAGACAUGAACUUUUGUUUAAAUGUAUUUUUGCAAGGAUCAAAUUGUUACACCUAUACACACAAGUUUAAAUCCUACAUUGUGGGACUGAAGUGCUCUUAAGAUACCUUUUUUAUUUUUGCUGUGUAAUAUGCAAAGCGAAAGGGAAAUUAUUUAAUGCGUAGUGGCUCAAAU
This 310-nucleotide long non-coding RNA is filed under the name Bos taurus (domestic cattle). RNAcentral describes it as "long non-coding RNA NONBTAT006552". Lineage: Eukaryota; Metazoa; Chordata; Mammalia; Artiodactyla; Bovidae. The record is from RNAcentral.